Caretta caretta (loggerhead turtle) is the source of this 1391-nucleotide long non-coding RNA. RefSeq lists it as uncharacterized. NCBI's taxonomy places the organism in Eukaryota, Metazoa, Chordata, Testudines, Cheloniidae. The record is from RefSeq and is a predicted model, not a curated record.
UCCCACCCUUUGCGUCUGGCUGACGUAAACCAUCGCUCCCGCCCCGGCGGGGGAGGGGAGCGCCAGGGCGGGGUGCUUGGUGCGCUCCCCUCGCCUUGGAGCACAAUCCCGCAGCGCGGGGGGGGGUCAGGCCAGGCCACGCUCCGCCAAGUUUCGGGUCGCACUGAGGGAAAGGGCGAUCGCGCCCCGCCCAGCACGGAGUCCUGACAAAACACUGCACGGUGGAGUGUGUUGCCAUGGGCAGCCGCAGCGGGGACCACUGAGCUGUGGAGACACGUGGGAGCUGGAACCGAGGGACAGACCCCUCCAAGAGCCCGCUGUGGGGCAGGACGUGUGUGUGUGACCCGCACCGAAAUCGUGUGUCACACACGUGGGUUGGCUGUCUCGUAUGUGCCCGCCCUGUGCUUUUCUUCUCCGGGAGUUCGCGUCUCGCUGUUGCCUGGGGCGCCACCAUCUGAUGUUUGCUGCUGACAGCGGCUCACACGGGCUGAGCACCAGCGUGGGGAGCGGGGCAAGCCCUGGUUAGUGACGUAGCCUGCUGCUCAACUUUAACUUCUUUUUGCUGCUUCCCGAGAAGAGCAGAAACAAACAAUUAGAGAUGUGAAACUAUCAAAUCAGAUAUUCUCCCAAAGAUCAGGGCCGGCUCCAGCUUUUUUGCCGCCCCAAGUGGUGAAGGAAAAAACAAAAAAACCAAGCCUGGUUGAGCUGCCGCCGAAGAGGAAGAGAGAGACUGCAGGGCCUGCCGCCGAAUUGCCGCCAAAGACCUGGAUGUGCCGCCCCGAUGACGGAAGGAGUGCUGCCCCUUUCUAUAGGCCGCCCCAGGCACCUGCUUCCUUCGCUGGUGCCUGGAGCCGGCCCUGCCAAGGAUUCAGUCUUUGACGGAACUGCUGGUUUUCAGACAAAACCAGGAUCCAAAUUUUCAUGAAUAUCCCUACACUCUUCCAGUGGUUUCCUCAGUACAUGGAUUCCAAGAUGGCUUUUUGCUUGUCCUUAUGCAGUACUGAAGUGUAGUACUUGAUAGUAUUUAAGUAAGCCAAUAUAAGCAAUACAAGGAAGAAGUUUAUAAGGGAGGGGUAUACAGCUUCCAAAAAGAACAUUGGAUCUAAUUCUUAGCCUGUGCGCUGUAUCCAAAGAACAAACAUUAAAAAUGUGGUGUGAUGUUAUUGACAUAAACUGUGACUGUAUAGAUCGCUGUUGCAACCAAGGUCCUAUAGUUGCAUCAAAUCUUGUACAAAGGAGGUCAAAUAAGGUGUCUAUGAAAAGGUUGUAAUUUGCUGGUUAUGAUUAUGCUGUCUGUAUGUGUGUAUCAUUUUUGUAUUUGAAGUUAUGAAUAUUGGCUAUGUACUUGUAUCUCAAUGUGUUUGAUUCUAAGUAGCAUCAGUGAAGCAUUU